UACGAAGGGGGCUAGCGUUGCUCGGAAUCACUGGGCGUAAAGGGUGCGUAGGCGGGUCUUUAAGUCAGGGGUGAAAUCCUGGAGCUCAACUCCAGAACUGCCUUUGAUACUGAGGAUCUUGAGUUCGGGAGAGGGUGAGUGGAACUGGCGAGUGUAGAGGUGAAAUUCGUAGAUAUUCGCAAGAACACCAGUGGCGAAGGCGGUUCUCUGGGACGGUACUGACGCUGAGACGGCGGAAGCGUGGGGAGCGAACAGG
Molecule: ribosomal RNA, 256 nt
Filed under: uncultured bacterium
Lineage: Bacteria
Description: partial 16S ribosomal RNA
Rfam family: Bacterial small subunit ribosomal RNA
Source: RNAcentral